CAGUCGCCACGGUAAUACGUAGGGUGCGAGCGUUAAUCGGAAUUACUGGGCGUAAAGCGUGCGCAGGCGGUUUUGUAAGACAGGCGUGAAAUCCCCGGGCUCAACCUGGGAAUGGCGCUUGUGACUGCAAAGCUAGAGUGCGGCAGAGGGGGAUGGAAUUCCGCGUGUAGCAGUGAAAUGCGUAGAUAUGCGGAGGAACACCGAUGGCGAAGGCAAUCCCCUGGGCCUGCACUGACGCUCAUGCACGAAAGCGUGGGGAGCAAACAGGAUUAGAUACCCCCGUAGUCCCUGUCUCUUAUAC
RNAcentral lists this ribosomal RNA (301 nucleotides) under uncultured bacterium. RNAcentral's name for it is "partial 16S ribosomal RNA". It matches the Rfam family "Bacterial small subunit ribosomal RNA", at positions 509 to 807 of the family's 1533-position model. The record is from RNAcentral.